Molecule: long non-coding RNA, 1276 nt
Organism: Lolium rigidum
Lineage: Eukaryota; Viridiplantae; Streptophyta; Magnoliopsida; Poales; Poaceae
Exons: 2
Source: RefSeq, a predicted model, not a curated record
GGCAUGCAGACCAUCUUUACCACUGAAUCUUUGCCUGGGAGAUAUCAAAUGAACUUACCCAAUUUCCUUUUUAUUAAAAAUUUACCUAAUUACAUUUAUACUAAUUGGCACACGUCUAUAAUAUAUAUCCUGAAGAUCUGUAAGCCUACCACUAAGAUAAUAUCCCGCAUUCUAGACCAACGUGGACCAACUGCUCGCUCAUAACGGUUAGGCGUCUGCCUUUUCUUCUUCUUCUUCACUCGAGAAUCAUUGCUUGUAUGGCCUUGGCUUCUUGCACUGGGAAAGGUUUGCAUUCAGAGAACCCUUAAAUUUGUAGUCCUCUCUUUGACCUGGCUUUUCACAAAGUUCAGACAUUGUACUAUCUCCUUUUUAGUGGCAGGCAUCUGCAAUGUCCAACUGUGGCAAGCAGGUUGUGUACAAAGUGUGCCUUGUACUUUUUACUCUUUUGGUCCUGGUCAGAACUGAUGGUGGUUCCUCUCUCCUUGUUUCCGUUCAUGGUAAAAACGAUACUUAGUUUUGUAUAAAGGUUUGAUCUCCUUUUUCGUUGUUUAUGUUGGUGCAAUUUAUUGUUUAAAACUUGAAAUAUCUUAGUUAGAAAUUGAGGCCUGCUUUUCCUUGCUUAUGUUGAUGUCGAGUCCCUUUUCACACUGCCUUCUCUUUUCACCGAUGGAAAUGUAUUUAAAUAUAUUACUCUUAGUAUAUCUGCUUGUUUAUUCGAAGUACGAUUUCAGUACAACAAAGAAUGGUACCAUGGAGAUUACUCGUCUAAUAUAUUUUGGGAAGAAGUAUUUGCAUUGGAUGGUCCUGACAACAUCUGGAUACAUGACGUGUACAUUCCCUUGCUCCUGUUGCGGUGUACUCGAUUUGCUCAUCAAACUAUCCUACAGGAACCUGCUGCGUUACCGGUGAAACACAUUGAUGAAAUACAUCGCCCCAAUUCUGAAGCACUGUGCUUGGUUUACCUUGGGCUCAUCAUCAAGGACGAUGGCAGCAGUCGGGCACUCCGGCCUGAUCCGGAGGCGGUGCUGUCAACGAGUCUCCGCUGGAGGAGGCGAGGACCAGCAUGAUGUUUCAUAACUUCAAAUCAUUCAGUAAUUGAUCUUUAGGGAAUGUAUUAAGAGCAUCGUGCCGAAGUUCAUGAUUGUUUGACUCAGUUAUGGUAAAUGAAGCAGAUGAGCUUUCCAUGUAUUCUUGUUUGUAGCGAAGUAUAAGAGCAGUAAUUUUUAGAAGGUCGGCUUAUUAACAUUUGUUAAAUAGUGGAUAUGUUGCUUGGUCC